GGGGAAUCUUCCGCAAUGGACGAAAGUCUGACGGAGCAACGCCGCGUGAGUGAUGACGGCCUUCGGGUUGUAAAGCUCUGUUAAUCGGGACGAAUGGUUCUUGUGCGAAUAGUGCGAGGAUUUGACGGUACCGGAAUAGAAAGCCACGGCUAACUACGUGCCAGCAGCCGCGGUAAUACGUAGGUGGCAAGCGUUGUCCGGAAUUAUUGGGCGUAAAGCGCGCGCAGGCGGAUCAGUUAGUCUGUCUUAAAAGUUCGGGGCUUAACCCCGUGAUGGGAUGGAAACUGCUGAUCUAGAGUAUCGGAGAGGAAAGUGGAAUUCCUAGUGUAGCGGUGAAAUGCGUAGAUAUUAGGAAGAACACCAGUGGCGAAGGCGACUUUCUGGACGAAAACUGACGCUGAGGCGCGAAAGCCAGGGGAGCGAACGGGAUUAGAUACCCCGGUAGUCCUGGCCGCAAACGAUGGGUACUAGGUGUAGGAGGUAUCGACCCCUUCUGUGCCGGAGUUAACGCAAUAAGUACCCCGCCUGGGGAGUACGACCGCAAGGUUG
This 549-nucleotide ribosomal RNA is filed under the name uncultured bacterium. Its description in RNAcentral is "bacterial SSU rRNA". It matches the Rfam family "Bacterial small subunit ribosomal RNA", at positions 356 to 896 of the family's 1533-position model. The record is from RNAcentral.